AAGGAUCUGAGCCAAGUAGGACACAUCUUGUGUUAGGCACCUCAUUGGUUGUUGUAUUCAGAGCAGACGGGCAUAGAUCACGAAGCAAGGUGUUUGGAGGUCCAUCCCAGCUUAGACAAGGAGGCAGCAGUAGCUAGAGGGAGAUCAGUUUCUAAAGUGGAGUAAACUACUCUAGUAAACUGAUUUCGUAAUGAAUUAUGUGUGAGAGGAAGGAGGAAAGCAGAUAAAAAUGUCACAUCUGAGUAAAGUUACAGAGACAAGGAACACAAACCCUGAUCGGGAGCUGCGCUCCUAACCUGCCCCUUGUCGUCUUUGUACUUCAGAGCACAGGGACGCAGGUGUGACACCGCAGACACUCAGCUCUGGUAACAGGUCAUGUCAUCACUGCUGCUAUCCCUACUCUACUGAACUGGACUGCUGAUAUAUCUGUGAAGUGUUUUGCAAGUGGAUCGAGCUGCCUCUGCUGGCCUGUGAACUAAAUUUCUGAUUUCCAGACAACACAGAUGGGAUUUUUUUUCAAGGAACCAUUUCUAAACAGAUCCACAUCCCCCAAAUUCUUUCUUUUUCCCUACCUCUGGUGAAUGGUGGGCUAAAAGGGAGGUUAAAGCAUUUAAAAACAAUCAUUAAAAGUAGACUUUGAAAAAAAAUUAAAGGUACAGAUCUGGAUCCAGGUCUUAAUGUUUGCACAGCAAGCAUUUUAUGCCCCGAGCCUUCUUCCCAGCCCAUCAUGAACUGUUUGUUUCAAGUAAUUUCAGAUACAUUGUUAUUCCACGCCUUUUUUCAUUGGGCAAGAUGUACUUUAAAUAAAAAUGUUGGUACAAACAAUAGGGAUUCUUUAAUACUAGAGAAAAAGUGGUAAUAAUUCCCUAGUUAAUUAGGGAAUUAUUAAAAUUAUAGACGUAUAUGCAACUAAUAACAAACCCAAAGGCAUAAUGAAGCCAAAGAUGAUUGAAUUCUGUAGAAGAAUAUCCAGUUUGCCUUCAAUCACAACUUGACAGAAUAAUAAGGAAACCUGGGGUGAGCAGCACUACAAGCAACUACAUCUCACAGACCCAUGUAGCAACGGAGCAUGUUUCUAAAGCAUGCACAAGUGCAUGGUCCAGGAUAGAGCAGCACGUGCAAUGGCUCAAGAGCAUGAUGGGACCUGGAUGGAAUGCACAUGUUAAGUCUACACCCUGCUGAUUUGUCACAUGUGAGAAUUUGGUGACUUUUCCUUCUGCAAUGGUAGGUAUGGCCACACAUGUGGGGUUGACCCUUACUCAAGGGGAUGCUUCUGAUGAGGCAGACUCCCAAGUAAGGUCAAUCAACUGCUUUGCCUUUCAUUCCUUUUGUGUUUGCCUCCUGGUUAGCCAGGUCAUUGCCAUUGAAUAUUUAUUUCACUAAAGUCCUCCUGUCUUGUCUGUUCCUCUGAUCACUCUAAGAUACAAAUCUGUAGUGCACAGGCAGCAGAAAUUCCAGGAGGGAAAACAAAAACCAAAAUCCCAAACUCACAAGGUAAAAAAUAUCUAUGGAUAAAAGUGGCAAUAGGAAAGGAAUGUUAAAUUAUGCAAAUAUUGUCUUGUGACCGGGAAGGGACACACCCACCCCACUGAAGGUUUUUGUUCGGGCUGCAGAUGCCUGGGAAGCACCGUGUCAUCACAACACAGAAAUAAGUACCAGAGUCUGUGGUCUGGGAGGAGGAAAUAGUCAAAGAGCUGCGAUGUUCCUUAGAGACUGUGGUGAACAUCAGUCUUCCAUACCGCUUCAUUCCGGGAUUGAAGAAGAGGCUGACGAGGCUUCCCCCAGGACUCUGGUAAAACCACUGCGUUUGGUUUGUGGAGGUGGAAAAGUUGCACUGCAGCUCUGCGUUCUCUCCCUCCUGCAGAACCAAGGACGCAGGACUCUGCUGCACUUGCUGCCCUUUUACCCUUGAUUAGAAACAGAGAAAGAGACACUGAUGACUGUCAUUGCAGUGUUCACAGAGCCCUGAGCACACCCAUGACCUCUGAGAAGGUGGGAGCUCUGCAGGACUCCUAAGCUGCUCUCCCCACCCCUCCAUGUGCUGAGCCAGAGCCUCUCAGGUGCCCUGAAUGCUGACAGCCAGACUCACAGCAAACCUGGAUGCACAGAAGCCCCAGCAGAGAGCACAGCAGCCUCUUCAUGGUGCUGGUGUGGCUGCUGGAGACAAGCAAGUAAGUAAUCCCUGGGCUGUGGUGUCAGGGUGGCUGUUGAAGUGUCCCCUCCUCCUGCAACUAGUCAACUCCACCUAGGAACCCUGCCUGGCCACACCCUGCUGAGUUCCCUCCCAGCCUUCAGAGCCUGAAGCUCCUCCUAAACCAGCCAGAUCUGGCUGACAGUGGGGGAAGAUGGACAUUUUGAGAUGACCUCGGGGUUGUAUGGAGUGUGAGAGCCCCUGGGGAGAAGGGACAUUCAGUGACUAUACUAACUAGAACCACAGACAGAACAGCUACAUGUUUAAAUCAAGAAACAGGCAUGUGUCCUGAAUAAAGUCCUUACAGGCCUUUACAUUAAUUUAGUGAAACUUAUUCCAGACACACAAGAUAACUAGAUCGGAAAUGUUACAAGGUAUAUAUUUAACAAGCCUUUAUGUUUUGCCAAUGAAAGAUGUGUAGACUGGGAGAUUCUUGGAGUAACAUUCUUUCUGUUAAACGUUGCUUUUUGUAGAUAGGAGCCCGCUGAAGACAAAGGGCCUCUCAGUGCUACUUUGCUACACUGAAAGUGUGGCUUCCAAGUCUGUUCCUCAGUGGAGUGACCAUAGCUAACAGGAAAAGUGUGGUUUCUGAGUUGCUCUGUUCCUCAGCAGAGUGACCAUAGCUAACAAUAUGUACUGCAAGUUUCCAGAGCUAUAAGAAAACAUUUUACAUUUUCAACCUAAAAAUAAAGAGUGUUAACAUACAGGCGAUUUUGCUGGCCUGCCCUCAGUGAUCUAGCAUUGCUUACGUCAUCAGCUGCCAACCCCAGGUGCAGGUGGCAGGAUGUAAGCAGCUGCUGCCACCCUAAGUCCUCUCUGUGUGGUUCCUCUCUCUCUCUCUCUCUCUCUCUCUCUCUCUCUCUCUCUCUCUCUCUCUCUCUCUCUCUCUCUCCUCUCUCUCUCUCCCCCUCCCUGUCCUUCUUCCUCCCUAGACCUAGAGGAAUACAAAAUGAAUUGAACAUCAUUGCCCUCCAUCAUAGAGUUUGCAAUGUUGUAUGUGGAAGAGAGUAAUAUAGCACAUGUUAUAAUAAGCGUGUGCCAUAAACAGCACAUGAGCACCAAGAUAGAGACAUCACUUGGGGUUUAUUCACAGGACAUGCACACAACUCAGUCAUCAGUGGACAUUAUAAUGCUGUGCACCAUUCCUGGAAAUGAUAAGGAGGCAGAGAAAAAAAGCCACAGAAACAGCAUUUGAGCCUUUAUUUAAUACAAUGAACAGAAGCUAAGCAAUAUAUAGUCUUAGAUGAUGAUAAGAAAACUUGCCCCACCCCCACACAGCUUCUCUACAGACACCAAAGUAGCUGUCAGGUUCAAAGAAAGUGCUCCUCCACACACCAAGAUACUUAAAAUUGAAUUUGCACAUAAGGAAUCUUUGCCUGUUGUUCUGGUGUCUUAGUCAGGGUUUCUAUUACUGAGAUAAAACACCAGGACCAAAACCAAAUAGAGGAGGAAAGCAUUUAUUUAUCUCACAACUUGUUUUUCAUCAUCUAGGAAAGUCAGGACAGGAAACUCAGCGUAGAAAGCUGGAAGCAGGAGUGCAGAGGCCAUAGAGGGGGCUUCCCAUGGCUUGCUCAGCCUGAUUUCUUAUAUUCCGCAUGAACCAAGUCCAAGGGUGGCCCUGUGGGUGGACCCACCCACACCAAUCACGAGAUAAGAAAAUACACCACAGGCCAAUCUGGUAGGAGCAUUUUCUCAAAUGAGGUUUCAUCUAACAAAUCACUAUAGUUUGUGUCAAGUUGACAUAAAACUAGCCAGCAACCUGGAAACUCUGGUUUUGAAUUUGAGUGAAUUUUAGGGAAGAGAAAAAAACUUGAUGGUCCAACCUUUGCCGUCUGGUGAAAUUUGCACUGCAGAAUCUUGCAGCCAUUUUCUUGUGUCUCUGAAUAUCUAACUUCUUGCUUGUCAUCUGCGUAUAUUUAUAGCACAGAAAGAUGAUCACAAGUCAGGACACUAUUCGUAACAGUUGCUUAAGAUUGCUUUUAUACAUUGACUAACCCGCAUAAAGAAUGAUAAUAUUGAGAAGCAGAGACAAGAGAACUGCAGCACGUUAAGGCCAGGCCAGGCUUCACUAGAGUGAAUUCAAGAUCAGCCCCAGCUACUUAUGGAAACUCUGAAUCGGAAAAACUUACCUUGAUGAUUCAUUUCAGUGUCCUAGAAUUGAGUAUUUUGAAUAUGCAUUUUCAAUUUUCAUUAGAUUUCAUUUAAAACGCGAAUGCUUUGGAUUUUGCAAUUUUUUUUUCUGUUUUAGUAGGUAACAUUAAAUAUUUUGAAAGAAAUGAAAUGCUGACUUGGGAAGUUUACAUGGAAAUAAUUCUAGGGGUUGGGGAGAUGGAUGGCCCAAUAAAGGCGCUGGCUCUCUUUAGCGGGAAUGCCUACAGAGUUGUCGUUUACACAUUGUGAGGACAAGGACAGCCGUCACCAAGUCCUCCAGCCUCCUGCACUUCGUGAGAGAGCUGGAAUCCUUCUUUAUCAGGAGAUUCAGAUCACUGACCUCAAGAGAUAAGGCAGAAUAUGAUGAAGAUAAUGCAGUUUGAAAAAUCAGAUGAUUUUUAAAUUGUUCUGGGAUUCUUUAUUGGAUGAAGGAUAAGAUUAAUAAUGUAAAGCAAACCUCUGAUUUGCUUAAAAAUAACUCACAGUCAACUUCAUGCCAUCUUGCCCAAUCACUGUCCCAAAUGUCUCCUCAUUCCCCUCCCGUGUGUGUGUGUGCGCACGCACACGCGCGCACACACACACACACACACACACACACACACACACACUAGCAUCUCCCUCUAUCACUCUUUUUUUUUCCUUUCUUUUUUUCUUUCCUUUGAGACAGGGUCUCUGAACUUUAAACUUGAUGUUUGGGCUAAUUUGUCAGUGAGUGUCAGUGAUUACCUGCCUCUGUUCCCCACUUGGACAAUGGGUGCCUGUCAUGUUAAUACCACCCUCUGAGGGCCAAAUAGAAAAUUAAGGACAUGUUCCUGAUUAUAAGGAAUGUUCAACCAUCCUCUAUCCUUCCCAGGCUUGAAUUUAACAGCUUUAUGAUCAUGUACCGGGAGGAUUUGUGUUUUGUAAAUCUUUCGGGUUAUAAUACUUUUAAAUGAAAGAAAUACCCUAAUUACAGAUUACAACAGGCACACAGAAACUUUCAGAAAAAUUCAUAACAAUGACAAACUAAAAAGGACAACUCAACAAACAGAAUUCAAAAAGUUGUGCAAUGUUAUUAUUUAUUUUAUUGGCAUAAUUUAGUACUACUUUUUUGUGAGAACAUAUAGUAUUUUCAAUGGAGAGAAAAGAAAGCUAACACAAUCUUUCUACCUAGCAUGAUUAAUUUUGGGGGGGGGUGGGCAAAAUUGCUUUUAAUAAUAUUCUUUCUGCUCAGUGUAGUUAUAAAUAUAAUUUUAAUUUGUCAGCGAUAUUAAAAAGUAUUACUACAAAAUUGAUCACUUUUGUACUAUCUUCAAAAUUCAAUUCAAACAUUCCUCUUAGAGCUCAUCUCAGUCAAAUUUAACAAUUUAGCUCCUCCCUUGAGCCGACCCUUUUCAAGAGCCUGAUAGGUACUUUUGACUACUGGCUGCUAUAUUGGCCAUCAAGUUCUAAAUAGUGGUUAUUUAAGGGAAACACUGUUCACAUUCCACCUUUGAGUAGAGAGAAUUUCCAUUCCACUGUUGGAGUGAGCGAUUGGAAGACAUCAUAACAUGACUAUUUUUCCUACUUCAAUUAAUAUACAGAGAAAAUCCCCAUGCUGAGUUCACAUUUGUUACAUUAAUCAAUUAAUUGCUUUUUAACUUAUUCCCUUUACAGGCCGUUCACUCUCACCCUCCCACAAUCCUUCCCCCUUCCCCUCCCCCUUUCCUCUGAGCAGGUGGGGGCUCCCUUGGGUAUGCUCCCAACACUGUCACUUCAAGACUCUGCAAGGCUAAGCAAUUCCUCCCCCAUGGAGGCCAGACAGGGCAGCCCAGCUAGAAGAACAUAUUGAGGUUGCAAUCCUUCUAUUCUCCCUUAAGAGUUAUCAAACUCCAUUGACUGUUUGGCUGUGGGUGUCUGUAUCUGUCUGAGUCAGUUGCUGGGUGGAGCCUUCAAAGGACAGCCAUGCUAGACUCCUGACUGCGUGGUUCAGGCUCAGCAUGUCUGAUAAAGGUGGGAGAAGAGGCAGGGAGAUCUCCCUGGAAUCCAGGCCGUUCUGCAUGAUUAGUUUUUUAUUCAUGUUGCAUUAUGAUAACAUGUAUAGUUUUAGAGAUAUAGUUACAUUUGGGGGAAAUGUGUAUAAAACAUUUUAUUACAUUUCAAGUAUUUGAAUGCUGUAAUCAGCCAUAGGUGUCAUGGACACUCAUUCAUCACUUCAUUAACUCUGUGUAUUUCCCACUGUUGUGUAACACAUCCCCACGAAUUUAGGAACUUAAAAAAUCAUCUGUUUAUUGCACUGCAGUUCUGUAGGUCAGAAGUGUGGUGGAAGCUGAACUAGGUCUCGCAAAGCUGCAGCGUUUCUCAAGACUGGCAAAUUACUGGACAUAGUGUUGGACCACCACACAGGGUGCUCGUCUCUGGGGAAGAUGGAUUCUCGCUUUCCCAGCAGUCACGAAUUGCCUUUAGCCAUGAGCGUUAUCCCAUCUAUGCUGGUCAAUGGCUGUCAUUUUUCAAGCUUAGUUUAGUCAACCAUAUUGUUGAGAAAUCAUGGAUGAAGGUUUGUUAUUGUACAUAGAUGAUAUAAUCUCUCAGCAGAUGAUCUGUUACACGUGCUUUUGCCAUCAUCCCAGGCCCUUUCCCGUGAUGUUCCUUGAAUGCUAGAUAGAGGUUUUGUGCUGUAGAUUCAUCAACUGAGUUGGGCAGUUGUUCUUUUUAUUUUGUCCACGUGUGGAUUUCUGUGAUGGUCGCCAUCAUUUGCAAAAUGAAGCUUCUUUGAUGAGAGGUGAGAGAUAGACUUAUCUGUGAGCAUAAGGGCAAAUAUUAAGAAUGCAAUUAGAGACCCGCGGAUCCCGGCCCGCAGCAGCUCUCUGCUCCCAGACCCGGUGAGAGAGAGACCCAACCGCCUGGUCAGGUGGGCACUCCUGAGGCUGCAGAGCGGAAGAGACCACCAACACUGCUCACCCCUGCCCACAUCCCUGGCCCAAGAGGAAACUGUAUAAGGCCUCUGGGCUCCCGUGGGGGAGGGCCCAGGAGCGGCAGGACCCCUGUGCCUGAGACACCACCAGAACCUGAAGGAAACAGACCGGAUAAACAGUUCUCUGCACCCAAAUCCCGUGGGAGGGAGAGCUGAACCUUCAGAGAGGCAGACAAGCCUGGGAAACCAGAAGAGACUGCUCCCUGCACACACAUCUCCGACGCCAGAGGAAAAAGCCAAAGACCAUGUGGAACCCUGGUGCACUGAAGCUCCCGGAAGGGGCGGCACAGGUCUUCCUGGUUGCUGCCGCUGCAGAGAGCCCCUGGGCAGCACCCCACGAGCAAACUUGAGCCUCGGGACCACAGGUAAGACCAAAUUUUCUGCUGCAAGAAAGCUGCCUGGUGAACUCAAGACACAGGCCCACAGGAACAGCUGAAGACCUGUAGAGAGGAAAAACUACACGCCCAAAAGCAGAACACUCUGUCCCCAUAACUGACUGAAAGAGAGGAAAACAGGUCUACAGCACUCCUGACACACAGGCUUAUAGGACAGUCUAGCCACUGUCAGAAAUAGCAGAACAAAGUAACACUAGAGAUAAUCUGAUGGCGAGAGGCAAGCGCAGGAACCCAAGCAACAGAAACCAAGACUACAUGCCAUCAUCGGAGCCCACUUCUCCCACCAAAACAAACAUGGAAUAUCCAAACACACCAGAAAAGCAAGAUCUAGUUUCAAAAUCAUAUUUGAUCAUGAUGCUGGAGGACUUCAAGAAAGACAUGAACACACUUAGGGAAACACAGGAAAACAUUAAUAAACAAGUAGAAGCCUACAGAGAGG
Rattus norvegicus (Norway rat) is the source of this 8108-nucleotide non-coding RNA. The record is from RefSeq and is a predicted model, not a curated record. Lineage: Eukaryota; Metazoa; Chordata; Mammalia; Rodentia; Muridae.